UUUAUGGAGAGUUUGAUCCUGGCUCAGGAUGAACGCUGGCGGCGUGCCUAAUACAUGCAAGUCGAGCGAACGGACGAGAAGCUUGCUUCUCUGAUGUUAGCGGCGGACGGGUGAGUAACACGUGGAUAACCUACCUAUAAGACUGGGAUAACUUCGGGAAACCGGAGCUAAUACCGGAUGAUAUUUUGAACCGCAUGGUUCAAAAGUGAAAGACGGUCUUGCUGUCACUUAUAGAUGGAUCCGCGCUGCAUUAGCUAGUUGGUAAGGUAACGGCUUACCAAGGCAACGAUGCAUAGCCGACCUGAGAGGGUGAUCGGCCACACUGGAACUGAGACACGGUCCAGACUCCUACGGGAGGCAGCAGUAGGGAAUCUUCCGCAAUGGGCGAAAGCCUGACGGAGCAACGCCGCGUGAGUGAUGAAGGUCUUCGGAUCGUAAAACUCUGUUAUUAGGGAAGAACAUAUGUGUAAGUAACUGUGCACAUCUUGACGGUACCUAAUCAGAAAGCCACGGCUAACU
RNAcentral lists this ribosomal RNA (519 nucleotides) under Staphylococcus aureus. RNAcentral's name for it is "bacterial SSU rRNA". It matches the Rfam family "Bacterial small subunit ribosomal RNA", at positions 1 to 502 of the family's 1533-position model. The record is from RNAcentral. Lineage: Bacteria; Bacillati; Bacillota; Bacilli; Caryophanales; Staphylococcaceae.